This is a long non-coding RNA of Pseudophryne corroboree (corroboree frog), 1015 nucleotides long. RefSeq lists it as uncharacterized. Lineage: Eukaryota; Metazoa; Chordata; Amphibia; Anura; Myobatrachidae. The record is from RefSeq and is a predicted model, not a curated record. The transcript is spliced from 2 exons.
GUUAAUCCAGGGUUCCGGUUUCCCCUCCGUCUCCUCCGGUGUGUGCGGGGCCUGUGGCAGCAGCCGCCUCCUCCUCCUCCUCCUGCAUGUAUUGCUGAAACUGCUAAACCGCAACCAAUUUAUAUGAAACUUAUUGAAAGAGCUAUAAUAUACAAUUCCACAUUCUUCUACUGUGAGACCUGCCAUACCAGAUACACAGAAGCUUCCAGCUUUCCCUACUGUUAUGAUGACGUAAUCUAAUGAACUUUGCUGUCACAAUGUUGAGUCAAAAAGACUUUCAAGGACUAUUGAGCAAGGACUAUGGACAUUAUAAUGAUUCCAUCUUCAGAAGAUACCUCUAAUUUAUGAACUCUUAUAAUAAUUUAAAAGUUAGGGAUAAGAGAAUAGGGAACAUUGAUUCUGCAUGAGUAUAGGGGUGUUGAAUGGAUUAGCCCAUGUCUCGAGUGCCCUUAAGGCACACUUGAUGUAAAAGUAGGUGUCCCUAUAGAAUCCAUGGCCAGGUAAAGGAAGGGUAGAAUAGAGGUAAAAAUUGUAAACAAAGAGGGGAAAUUGAUAAAGAUGGAAACCAUCUUUGUUCAUAAACUCCAUAUUGCUAAGCUGUUUAUAAUUGUUUAUCAGAUCAGAGUUGAUAUUGGAAUGAACUGCAAGGCGUUGCACUUUGAGUGAACUAUAUUGAAACCUUCUUAUGAUCUAUUUUUAUUACUUUUCUGAGUAAAAUAUAAAUGUCAGCAGCUAGACAUAUAGACUUCACAGGUGUCCAGUAGUUUGCGGUAUGGAAGGUGUGAAAACAUAACUAAACAUAGCAUGUCUCACUUUUAGCAAAAUUCCCCUAACUAACCCAUUUAAAAGCACAUACAGUAUAAAAAAUAUAGACGUUGGCAAAUAUAUUACGUAUAAGAUAGGAGUUUUAUUAACCAAUAGGAUUAAGCUUUGUGUAAGGAAAUUACGACACUGUAUGCAAAUAUGUAUUCCUUCAUAAUAUGCUGUUUCCAGGAAAUAAAAGCUGCUUCUGCUA